ACAGGGCCGCAGAUGGAGACU
RNAcentral lists this microRNA (21 nucleotides) under Homo sapiens (human). RNAcentral describes it as "hsa-miR-3918". Lineage: Eukaryota; Metazoa; Chordata; Mammalia; Primates; Hominidae. The record is from miRBase by way of RNAcentral.